GCCCCCAUAGUGUAGUCCGGCCAAUCAUGCAGCCUUCUCGAGGCUGAGACACGGGUUCAAAUCCCGUUGGGGGCA
This 75-nucleotide transfer RNA is filed under the name Candidatus Woesearchaeota archaeon. RNAcentral's name for it is "tRNA-Glu". It matches the Rfam family "tRNA". From Rfam's summary of the family: Transfer RNA (tRNA) molecules are approximately 80 nucleotides in length. Their secondary structure includes four short double-helical elements and three loops (D, anti-codon, and T loops). The record is from RNAcentral. Lineage: Archaea; Nanobdellati; Candidatus Woesearchaeota.